GCUGGCGGCGUGCCUAACACAUGCAAGUCAAGGGGAAAGUUUUACUUCGGUUUAACAAGUAUACUGGCGGACGGGUGAGUAACGCGUAGGCAACCUGCCCUUUUGAAUGGGAUAACCCAGCGAAAGUUGGACUAAUACCAUAUACGACAUAUUAAUCGCAUGGUUGAUAUGUGAAAGGCUGCUCUUCGGAGCAUUCACAAAAGGAUGGGCCUGCGUUCCAUUAGUUAGUUGGUGAGGUAAAGGCUCACCAAGGCAGCGAUGGAUAGCUGGUUUGAGAGAGCGAUCAGCCACACUGGGACUGAGAUACGGCCCAGACUCCUACGGGAGGCAGCAGUGAGGAAUAUUGCGCAAUGGAGGAAACUCUGACGCAGCAACGCCGCGUGGGGGAUGAAGUUCUAUGGAGCGUAAACCCCUGUAAGUAGGGACGAACCAUAAAUAUUCGAAUAGGGUAUUUAUUUGACGG
This 463-nucleotide ribosomal RNA is filed under the name uncultured bacterium. RNAcentral describes it as "bacterial SSU rRNA". It matches the Rfam family "Bacterial small subunit ribosomal RNA", at positions 35 to 475 of the family's 1533-position model. The record is from RNAcentral.